UCUCAGGUCACUGAAAGUGAAAUGAAGGGAACUCAGAUAUUUAAAGAAUAUGUUAUGUAAACCAGGGACUUUCUGUAGCUUACCUCAUGUAAUUGUCAUCAUAAUCACAUGAAGUAGAUUUCGUUAUCCUCCAUUUGUACAUAAAGAACUGCAGAGAAAUUAAAUAUAGACAUUACCAGUUGAAUGACUCAACAGACGUUAAUGUUUUCUCUUGCUGCCCUUCAUCAUGGAAUAUGGAAAAGCCACACACCACCCUGUGUGGAAGUCAUGUUGGAGUGAAGGAAGAAAAGCCUGAAGAUGCCCAGUGGUCUGAGCGUGGCUCUCGAUUCCUGGCCCUGGUGCUUCUCCUGUGCGGACUCAAUUCAAAACAAAGCUCAAGAAACAGGGAGUGUCACUGGACAAAACAAAUCCGAAACCCAGACUUGAGCCAACAGCAGAAUUUGGACCUCUGCAAGUCA
RNAcentral lists this long non-coding RNA (458 nucleotides) under Capra hircus (goat). Its description in RNAcentral is "lncRNA (ENSCHIG00000007616.1)". Lineage: Eukaryota; Metazoa; Chordata; Mammalia; Artiodactyla; Bovidae. The record is from RNAcentral.